Molecule: ribosomal RNA, 305 nt
Filed under: uncultured Planctomycetota bacterium
Lineage: Bacteria; Pseudomonadati; Planctomycetota
Description: bacterial SSU rRNA
Rfam family: Bacterial small subunit ribosomal RNA
Source: RNAcentral
AAUGAACGUUGGCGGCGUGGAUUAGGCAUGCAAGUCGAACGAGAUCUGUAGCAAUACAGUGAAAGUGGCGAAAGGGAGAGUAAUACGUAGGUACCUGCCCUCGGGUCUGGGAUAGCUGCGGGAAACUGCAAUUAAUACCGGAUGACGUCUCUGGACCAAAGGUGUGAUUCCGCCAGGGGAUGGGCCUGCGUCCUAUCAGCUUGUUGGUGUGGUAACGGCGCACCAAGGCUAAGACGGGUACGGGGUGUGAGAGCAUGCCCCCGCUCACUGGGACUGAGAUACUGCCCAGACACCUACGGGAGGCA